UACGUAGGGUGCGAGCGUUAUCCGGAAUUACUGGGUGUAAAGGGUGCGCAGGCGGCUAUUUAAGUCAGAUGUGAAAACUCAGGGCUCAACCUUGAGGCUGCAUCUGAAACUGGAUAGCUAGAGUGUGGGAGAGGAAAGUGGAAUUCCGAGUGUAGCGGUGAAAUGCGUAGAGAUUCGGAGGAACACCAGUAGCGAAGGCGGCUUUCUGGACCAUAACUGACGCUGAGGCACGAAAGCGUGGGGAGCAAACAGG
RNAcentral lists this ribosomal RNA (253 nucleotides) under uncultured bacterium. RNAcentral's name for it is "partial 16S ribosomal RNA". It matches the Rfam family "Bacterial small subunit ribosomal RNA", at positions 524 to 776 of the family's 1533-position model. The record is from RNAcentral.